RNAcentral lists this ribosomal RNA (489 nucleotides) under uncultured bacterium. RNAcentral describes it as "bacterial SSU rRNA". It matches the Rfam family "Bacterial small subunit ribosomal RNA", at positions 325 to 793 of the family's 1533-position model. The record is from RNAcentral.
CACUGUCACUCCUACGGGGAGGCAGCAGUGGGGGGAAUAGUUGCACAAUGGGCGCAAGCCUGAUGCAGCCAUGCCGCGUGUGUGAAGAAGGCCUUCGGGUUGUAAAGCACUUUCAGUUGUGAGGAAGGUGGUGUUGUGAAUAGCAGCAUCAUUUGACGUUAGCAACAGAAGAAGCACCGGCUAACUCCGUGCCAGCAGCCGCGGUAAUACGGAGGGUGCGAGCGUUAAUCGGAAUUACUGGGCGUAAAGCGCAUGCAGGUGGUUUGUUAAGUUCAGAUGUGAAAGACCCCGGGCCGUCAACCUCGGGAAGUUGCAUUUGUAAACUAGGCAAACUAGAGUACUGUAGAGGGGGGUAGGAAUUUCUAGGUGUAGCGGUGAAAUAGCGUAGAGAUCUGAAGGAAUACCGGUGGCGAAGGCGGCCCCCUCGGACAGAUACUGACACUCAGAUGCGAAAGCGUGGGGAGCAAACAGGAUUAGAUACCCUGGUAG